RNA transcript from Felis catus (domestic cat), 1495 nucleotides. It is a transcript of the gene named HCLS1 associated protein X-1, with no coding region annotated. NCBI's taxonomy places the organism in Eukaryota, Metazoa, Chordata, Mammalia, Carnivora, Felidae. The record is from RefSeq and is a predicted model, not a curated record. The transcript has 8 exons.
GUUUCCGGUCGCGGGGCCCAGGCUGCCGCCGGGUGCGAAUGGGCCUCGGUGGGGUCCGCGGGUUCGAGUCCCUACUCGGGGAUGAGCCUCUUUGAUCUCUUUCGGGGCUUUUUCGGCCUUUCUCCACCUCGGAGCCACAGAGACCCCUUUUUUGGAGGGAUGACACGAGAUGAAGAUGAGGAUGAUGAAGAAGAGGAAGAAGAAGGAGCCACGUGGGGCCGUGGGAGCUCGAGGUUUGAGGGUCCGCAGCCCCCGGAGGAAUUUGGCUUCGGCUUCAGCUUCAGCCCGGGAGGAGGGAUGCGUUUCCAUGAGAACUUCGGCUUUGAUGACCUAAUACAGGAUUUUAACAACAUCUUCAGCGAGAUGGGGGCCUGGACCUUGCCUUCCCGCCCUCCUGAACUUCCUGGUCCUGGUCCUGAGUCAGAGAUACCUGGUGAGAGACGGCAGGAGGGACAGACUCUCCGGGACUCAAUGCUUAAGUAUCCAGAUAGUCACCAGCCCAGGAUCUUUGGGGGGGGCUUGGAGAGUGAUGCAAGAAGUGAAUCCCCCAAACCAGCGCCGGACUGGGGCUCCCAGAGGCCAUUUGGUCUGUUUGAUGAUUUGUGGCCUAUGCCCCCCCAUUCUAGAGGCAGAGAAGACAACGGUGAGUGUGGAGAUCUUGAUUCCCAGGUUUCCCAGGAGGGCCUCGGUCCAGUUCUGCAGCCCCAGCCCAAAUCCUAUUUCAAGAGCGUCUCUGUGACCAAGAUCACUAAGCCAGAUGGGACAGUAGAGGAGCGCCGAACUGUGGUGGACAGCGAGGGCCGGACAGAGACCACAGUAACCCAUCAAGAAGCAGACGGCGGCCCUAGAGAUGAUCCAGAAUCACCAGCACCUCCAGCCCUGGAUGACACCUAUUCCAUCCUGGAUUUGUUCUUAGGACGCUGGUUCCGGCCCCGGUAGCCUCGUUAAGCCUCAGCGGCCUUCAGAUCCCUUCCACGCUUCGCUCACCAUCCGUGUCUCCUCCUGCCACCUCGGCCUGGGGUGUGCGGAGCAGUGAAUUGGGGCUUUUCAGAGCAUCACAGAAACACACGGAGCUGGAGACUAGCGGACAUCUGUGGAUGGCUCACAGCUUGAAAGCUGGAGACGCAUACAAACUAAAGAAGCAACUUGGGAGAAACAGUCUGCAGAGAGAUGAAAAUUUAGCAAGGAUACGUCUUUAAUGUCUUUAGAAAUAUAAGAUGAUACGUCCAUACAGCCAGAACAUACUCCUAUGAAGAGGAAUAAACUUUGGGGAGUUAAAAAAAAUGUGAUGGCAGAAAUGAAAAUCUAUAAAACGAUUCUGACGACAAAGUUGAGAAACUCUCCAGGAAGGUAGACCAAGUAAUAGAUAUAUAGAAAACAGGCAGCAAUGCACACCUGAAAGUAAUGUUAUAUGUUAACUAUACUUCAAUUUAAAAAGAUUAUUUUCAAAGAAAAUAGAAAAAAAAAAUAAAACUGGAAUGGUACAAACCAUCAA